GGGAAAUGUAGCGCUAUCUGUGCUAAUGACAGCAACAAGCACCUUUGCGUCCGUGGUAAUGACUCCUUUGUUAACAUCCCAGCUUGCUGGACAAUUUGUUGCUGUUGAUCCAGCAGGGCUUUUUAUGUCGACUGUACAGGUGGUGCUUGCUCCGGUUUUAGUAGGUGCCCUGCUGAACCAGUACUGCAAUGCUUUGGUAGGAUUAGUUUCCCCUGUGAUGCCGUUCAUCGCCGUUGCAACUGUCGCAAUUCUGUGUGGCAGUGCUAUUACUCAG
RNAcentral lists this unclassified non-coding RNA (274 nucleotides) under Hevea brasiliensis (rubber tree). The record is from RNAcentral. Lineage: Eukaryota; Viridiplantae; Streptophyta; Magnoliopsida; Malpighiales; Euphorbiaceae.